UCGGUGGUGGCGGGCGUGGUCGAGUGCGUCGUUCAGGACGACGCCGAAGCGUCGUUCGGCGCCCUGCCGCCCUUCC
Molecule: transfer RNA, 76 nt
Filed under: Mycolicibacterium duvalii
Lineage: Bacteria; Bacillati; Actinomycetota; Actinomycetes; Mycobacteriales; Mycobacteriaceae
Description: tRNA-Leu
Source: RNAcentral